Molecule: ribosomal RNA, 451 nt
Filed under: uncultured bacterium
Lineage: Bacteria
Description: partial 16S ribosomal RNA
Rfam family: Bacterial small subunit ribosomal RNA
Source: RNAcentral
GUGGGGAAUAUUGGACAAUGGGCGAAAGCCUGAUCCAGCCAUGCCGCGUGUGUGAAGAAGGCCUUUUGGUUGUAAAGCACUUUAAGCGAGGAGGAGGCUACCGAGAUUAAUACUCUUGGAUAGUGGACGUUACUCGCAGAAUAAGCACCGGCUAACUCUGUGCCAGCAGCCGCGGUAAUACAGAGGGUGCAAGCGUUAAUCGGAUUUACUGGGCGUAAAGCGCGCGUAGGUGGCCAAUUAAGUCAAAUGUGAAAUCCCCGAGCUUAACUUGGGAAUUGCAUUCGAUACUGGUUGGCUAGAGUAUGGGAGAGGAUGGUAGAAUUCCAGGUGUAGCGGUGAAAUGCGUAGAGAUCUGGAGGAAUACCGAUGGCGAAGGCAGCCAUCUGGCCUAAUACUGACACUGAGGUGCGAAAGCGUGGGGAGCAAACAGGAUUAGAAACCCUGGUAGUCC